AAAUUGAAGAGUUUGAUCAUGGCUCAGAUUGAACGCUGGCGGCAGGCCUAACACAUGCAAGUCGAGCGGUAGCACAGAGAGCUUGCGCUCGGGUGACGAGCGGCGGACGGGUGAGUAAUGUCUGGGAAACUGCCUGAUGGAGGGGGAUAACUACUGGAAACGGUAGCUAAUACCGCAUAAU
This 181-nucleotide ribosomal RNA is filed under the name Klebsiella pneumoniae. RNAcentral's name for it is "partial 16S ribosomal RNA". It matches the Rfam family "Bacterial small subunit ribosomal RNA", at positions 1 to 177 of the family's 1533-position model. The record is from RNAcentral. Lineage: Bacteria; Pseudomonadati; Pseudomonadota; Gammaproteobacteria; Enterobacterales; Enterobacteriaceae.